CUGGAGCAUGUCUUGGAACAAUAGUGUAACAGGCUAACUUGACACUAACAGAGAGAGACAAUUCAUCUCCAAAGAAGUAGAUGUGCAUGAGAGCUGACUGUCUUAACCAGAGUUGUCACUGUAUAGAAGGAGAGUUAUGAUUCUGAUAACACCACAUUCACAGAUCCAGCUAUGCCUGUUCUUGGAGUCAGCCCAUCUUUGGUACAAGAAAGGCACGAGAAGAAAACUCUAGUGGAUUCCAGUUGUCUGCUGUUCAAGUCUUCCCAGGAAUCCUCAUCCUUUCUCCAAAUUCUACUGUUAAUGAAGGAACAAGAAAUGAAGCACCAUGGAAAUCAAGCAGAGGGCAUUCAAGUGGGACUUUCAUUCUUUCAGAAAUAGUUGAGCUAAAUCAAAGUUGCCUGAGGAAGAAUAAAAAUGUGAUGUUCUGUCAUUGAACCCCACUACAUUGUCUGAA
This 454-nucleotide long non-coding RNA is filed under the name Equus caballus (horse). RNAcentral describes it as "lncRNA (ENSECAG00000053106.1)". The record is from RNAcentral. Lineage: Eukaryota; Metazoa; Chordata; Mammalia; Perissodactyla; Equidae.